CGGCAAUGGGACUUGCUCCCUGAUGUUACGGCGGANGGGUGAGUACACGUGGGUACCUGCCUGUAAGACUGGGAUAACUCCGGGAAACCGGGGCUAAUACCGGAUGCUUGUUUGAACCGCAUGGUUCAAACAUAAAAGGUGGCUUCGGCUACCACUUACAGAUGGACCCGCGGCGCAUUAGCUAGUUGGUGAGGUAAUGGCUCACCAAGGCAACGAUGCGUAGCCGACCUGAGAGGGUGAUCGGCCACACUGGGACUGAGACACGGCCCAGACUCCUACGGGAGGCAGCAGUAGGGAAUCUUCCGCAAUGGACGAAAGUCUGACGGAGCAACGCCGCGUGAGUGAUGAAGGUUUUCGGAUCGUAAAGCUCUGUUGUUAGGGAAGAACAAGUACCGUUCGAAUAGGGCGGUACCUUGACGGUACCUAACCAGAAAGCCACGGCUAACUACG
RNAcentral lists this ribosomal RNA (450 nucleotides) under Bacillus subtilis. RNAcentral's name for it is "bacterial SSU rRNA". It matches the Rfam family "Bacterial small subunit ribosomal RNA", at positions 69 to 505 of the family's 1533-position model. Lineage: Bacteria; Bacillati; Bacillota; Bacilli; Caryophanales; Bacillaceae. The record is from RNAcentral.